Molecule: ribosomal RNA, 494 nt
Filed under: uncultured bacterium
Lineage: Bacteria
Description: bacterial SSU rRNA
Rfam family: Bacterial small subunit ribosomal RNA
Source: RNAcentral
GGCUCAGAACGAACGCUGGCGGCGCGUUUAAGCAUGCAAGUCGCAGGGUAAAAUUUAGCAAUAGAAUUGAGACUGGCGAACGGGUGAGUAACACGUGAAAAUCUACCUUGAGAUGGGGGAUAGCCGGUAGAAAUAUCGGGUAAUACCGCAUAUGCCGAGAGGUGAAAGGGGCAACUGCUCCGUCUUGAGAUGAGUUUGCGUCUGAUUAGAUAGUUGGCGAGGUAAAGGCUCACCAAGUCUACGAUCAGUAGCCGGCCUGAGAGGGUGAUCGGCCACAUUGGGACUGAGACACGGCCCAGACUCCUACGGGAGGCAGCAGCUAAGAAUAUUCCGCAAUGGGAGAAAUCCUGACGGAGCGACGCCGCGUGAACGAUUGAAAAGGCAGAAAUGUUGUAAAGUUCUUUUAUUAGGGAAGAAUAAGGCUGGUAGUGGAAAGAUCAGUCGAUGACGGUACCUAAUGAAUAAGCCACGGCUAACUACGUGCCAGCAGCCGC